GUCCACACCGUAACGAUGAUUACUAGGUGUUGGGAGAUUGACCCUCUCAGUGCCGCAGUUAACACAAUAAGUAAUCCACCUGGGGAGUACGACCGCAAGGUUGAACUCAAAGGAAUUGACGGGGCCCGCACAAGCAGUGGAGUAUGUGGUUUAAUUCGACGCAACGCGAAGAACCUUACCAAGUCUUGACAUCCCUUGACGAUGCUGGAAACAGUAUUUCUCUUCGGAGCAAGGAGACAGGUGGUGCAUGGUUGUCGU
RNAcentral lists this ribosomal RNA (258 nucleotides) under uncultured bacterium. RNAcentral describes it as "partial 16S ribosomal RNA". It matches the Rfam family "Bacterial small subunit ribosomal RNA", at positions 793 to 1055 of the family's 1533-position model. The record is from RNAcentral.